CCCAAACCGGGCGCUUACCAUGCAGUCGACGGCAGCACGGACUUCGGUCUGGUGCGCGAGUCGGCGAACUGAGGUGAGUAAUGUAUCGGAACGUGCCCAGUAGCGGGGGAUAACUACGCGAAAGCGUAGCUAAUACCGCAUACGCCCUACGGGGGAAAGCAGGGGAUCGCAAGACCUUGCACUAUUGGAGCGGCCGAUAUCGGAUUAGCUAGUUGGUGGGGUAACGGCUCACCAAGGCGACGAUCCGUAGCUGGUUUGAGAGGACGACCAGCCACACUGGGACUGAGACACGGCCCAGACUCCUACGGGAGGCAGCAGUGGGGAAUUUUGGACAAUGGGGGAAACCCUGAUCCAGCCAUCCCGCGUGUGCGAUGAAGGCCUUCGGGUUGUAAAGCACUUUUGGCAGGAAAGAAACGUCGCGGGUUAAUACCCCGCGAAACUGACGGUACCUGCAGAAUAAGCACCGGCUAACUACGUGCCAGAGCC
Molecule: ribosomal RNA, 486 nt
Filed under: Achromobacter sp. Hu39B
Lineage: Bacteria; Pseudomonadati; Pseudomonadota; Betaproteobacteria; Burkholderiales; Alcaligenaceae
Description: bacterial SSU rRNA
Rfam family: Bacterial small subunit ribosomal RNA
Source: RNAcentral